RNAcentral lists this ribosomal RNA (1234 nucleotides) under metagenome. Its description in RNAcentral is "bacterial LSU rRNA". It matches the Rfam family "Bacterial large subunit ribosomal RNA", at positions 1564 to 2808 of the family's 2925-position model. The record is from RNAcentral.
UGAAUACGAGACGCUAAGGCGUCGAAGUAGUGUAUGUCAUACUUCCAAGAAAAGCUUGCACUGUCAUAGAUAAAAAACGCCUGUACCAUAACCGACACAGGUGGGUAGGUAGAGUAUACUAAGGGGCGCGAGAUAACUCUCUCUAAGGAACUCGGCAAAAUAACUCCGUAACUUCGGGAGAAGGAGUGCCUUAUUCGUAAGGUUGCAAUAACAAGAUCCAAGCAACUGUUUAUCAAAAACACAGGUCUCCGCUAAGUCGUAAGACGAUGUAUGGGGGCUGACGCCUGCCCAGUGCCAGAAGGCUAAAGAAGUUGGUUAGCAAUUGCGAAGCUGAUAACUGAAGCCCUGGUGAACGGCGGCCGUAACGAUAACGGUCCUAAGGUAGCGAAAUUCCUUGUCGGGUAAGUUCCGACCCGCACGAAAGGCGUAAUGAUUUGGAUACUGUCUCGGAGAGGGGCUCGGUGAAAUAGACUUGUCUGUGAAGAUGCGGACUACCUGCACCAGGACAGAAAGACCCUAUGAAGCUUUACUGUAACUUGAAAUUGAAAUUGGACUUUAUUCGCGCAGUAUAGGUGGGAGGCGUUGAUUAUAAUCUUGUGGGAUUAUUGGAGCCAUCAGUGAGAUACCACUCUUGUAAUGUUAGAUUUCUAACUUUGAAUCAUUAUCUGGUCAAAGAACAGUUUCAGGCGGGCAGUUUGACUGGGACGGUCGCCUCCUAAACGGUAACGGAGGCGUACAAAGGUUUCCUCUGAACGGUUAGAAAUCGUAUCUAGAGUGUAAAGGCAUAAGGAAGCUUGACUGUGAGACCUACAAGUCGAGCAGGGACGAAAGUCGGUCUUAGUGAUCUGACGGUACUGAGUGGAAAGGCCGUCACUCAACGGAUAAAAGUUACUCUAGGAUAACAGGCUGAUCUCCCCCAAGAGUUCACAUCGACGGGGAGGUUUGGCACCUCGAUGUCGGCUCAUCGCAUCCUGGGGCGGUAGUACGUCCCAAGGGUUGGGCUGUUCGCCCAUGAAAGCGGUACGCGAGCUGGGUUCAGAACGUCGUGAGACAGUUCGGUCCAUAUCCGGUGUAGGCGUUAGAAUAUUGAGAGGACCCUUCUUUAGUACGAGAGGACCGAGAAGGACAUACCUCUGGUGUACCAGUUAUCGUGCCAACGGUAAACGCUGGGUAGCUAUGUAUGGAGUGGAUAACCGCUGAAAGCAUCUAAGUGGGAAGCCCACCUCAAGAUAAG